AUUGAACGCUGGCGGCAGGCUUAACACAUGCAAGUCGAGCGGGGUGAUGGUGCUUGCACUAUCACUUAGCGGCGGACGGGUGAGUAAUGCUUAGGAAUCUGCCUAUUAGUGGGGGACAACAUCUCGAAAGGGAUGCUAAUACCGCAUACGUCCUACGGGAGAAAGCAGGGGAUCACUUGUGACCUUGCGCUAAUAGAUGAGCCUAAGUCGGAUGAGCUAGUUGGUGGGGUAAGGGCCUACCAGGGCGACGAUCUGUAGCGGGUCUGAGAGGCUGAUCAGGCACACCGGGGCUGCGAAACGUCCCAGACUCCUACGGGAGCAAGCAGUGGGGAAUAUUGUACAAGGGGGGGAACCCUGAUCCAGCCAUGCCGCGUGUGUGAAGAAGGCCUUAUGGUUGUAAAGCACUUUAAGCGAGGAGGAGGCUCUUUUGGUUAAUACCCAAGAUGAGUGGACGUUACUCGCAGAAUAAGCACCGGCUAACUCUGUGCCAGCAGCCGCCGUAA
This 503-nucleotide ribosomal RNA is filed under the name uncultured bacterium. RNAcentral describes it as "partial 16S ribosomal RNA". It matches the Rfam family "Bacterial small subunit ribosomal RNA", at positions 30 to 523 of the family's 1533-position model. The record is from RNAcentral.